UACGUAGGGUGCGAGCGUUAAUCGGAAUUACUGGGCGUAAAGCGUGCGCAGGCGGUUCGUUGUGUCGGCGGUGAAAGCCCCGGGCUUAACCUGGGAAUGGCCGUUGAAACUGGCGAACUGGAGUGUGGCAGAGGGGGGUGGAAUUCCGCGUGUAGCAGUGAAAUGCGUAGAGAUGCGGAGGAACACCGAUGGCGAAGGCAACCCCCUGGGCUAACACUGACGCUCAGGCACGAAAGCGUGGGGAGCAAACAGG
RNAcentral lists this ribosomal RNA (253 nucleotides) under uncultured bacterium. RNAcentral describes it as "partial 16S ribosomal RNA". It matches the Rfam family "Bacterial small subunit ribosomal RNA", at positions 524 to 776 of the family's 1533-position model. The record is from RNAcentral.